UACGUAGGGAGCAAGCGUUGUUCGGAUUUACUGGGCGUAAAGGGCGCGUAGGCGGCAGAUUAAGUCAGCUGUGAAAUCUCCGAGCUUAACUCGGAACUGUCAGCUGAUACUGUUUUGCUAGAGUGCGGAAGGGGCAAUCGGAAUUCUUGGUGUAGCGGUGAAAUGCGCAGAUAUCAGGAGGAACACCAAUUGCGAAGGCAGCUCGCUGGGACGUUACUGACGCUGAGACGCGAAAGCGUGGGGAGCAAACAGG
Molecule: ribosomal RNA, 253 nt
Filed under: uncultured bacterium
Lineage: Bacteria
Description: partial 16S ribosomal RNA
Rfam family: Bacterial small subunit ribosomal RNA
Source: RNAcentral